Molecule: long non-coding RNA, 43844 nt
Filed under: Hordeum vulgare
Lineage: Eukaryota; Viridiplantae; Streptophyta; Magnoliopsida; Poales; Poaceae
Description: long non-coding RNA (HVUL_LNC018659)
Source: RNAcentral
AGGGGUCAAGAACAGUUUCUGCUAUUUCGUGAUCUGAUCCCAAACACUCAGGUAGGGUUUCCGAAACAAAGGUACAUUCAGCUAUGCUAUUACAAAACCGACACGGUAAUAACGGAUCCAUUGCUUGUUUGCAGAUGCAGGUUUGAGACUGCCUCAGUUCAGCUUCUCGAGUAGCUCGUUGAUCUUGUCCCCGCGGUUGCCCGAGUCGCCACCAUCCUUGAAGGGUUUCUUCUUCAUCUGCAGCCUCCUCUCCGGACACUUGAGCUUGAAGGGCAUGAGAAAGCUCGCCGUUUCCCUGAAGUGCGGCCCGACCGUGGAGAUUUCGUGUACGACAUCUUCUAAACAUAUGACGCCGUGUUCUCCAAGAGCCUGUUUUUCAAGAAGCACAUGUAACGAUUAUCAAGUGUCCAUUUCAAAAUCAUCAUAAGAGAUGAUUCAGAAAAUAGUUCUGCCGCAGGAACGCACAUGGUAACGACGAUAAUUAUCCAAAAAAAGUGUUGGAUGUGUUAUGUUCGGUGCAUCAGAGUCUGAAAAUUACUAUUAUUAGUCCACAAUUGAUCCCUGAAGGUAUUCAAGUUUCUUAGCAAUUGUGGAACUGGUUACUUCCUAUGCCUAAUGUUAUUAGGUAGCCGUAGGCAUGCCAAAGCUUUAUUUGAAUCGAAUGCCUACACCCCAAUCUUUAGAAGAUGGCGCAGAUAUUAUUAUACCUUCUCGAUUAGAUCAUUGCUGGUAAGGGGGAAAGGCUCCUUGUCGAAAUACCCGCGACCCUUCUUGUAGAUAAGCUCCUUCACAUUCUUCAAAUUGGGGAACCUAUCGUGACACCAAUUAUUAACAACAUUCAAUCACUGUAAACUACAAACUGACGAAACAAGCCACACAAUGGGGAAGAUAUCUUCAUUCAAUUACCCAUAGGUGACAAACGGCCCAACAGCAGCAAGCCUCUUGAGGUUUGCCUCGGUGGCCUUGAGGAAGACUCCUGUGAGGACCUGGGUCAGCCGCAGCCUGGCCAAGAUCUUCCUGAUUUGCGGGUGCAAGUCGGCAGUGCUGCAAUCAGACAACGAAGAGUUGGACGUUAAUAAUCGCUAUGCACUAUGAGCAAGACAGACGAGUGGAUGCUUUAGGUAUAGGCACUGACCCUGGGAUGCGGAUGGCGAAGAGCAGGUUGGCGUGUACGGGCUCGGCGGGGCGCAGCUUGCGGACCUUGAGGCGCGUGCGCAUCCGCAGGAAGUCGAGCUCCUUGUUGCGGAACUCCCUGACGAAGUCCUCGGGGCGCUUGAUGGCGCCCUUGGCGUCGUGGCGGCGGCGCUGCCUCUUGGCCGCCUUGCGCUCCCGGUUCUUGGUGGCCCACUCCUCGUUCUGCUUCCUCUUCUUCAGGACCGUCUCCCGCACGAACGGCAGCUGCUGCGUCCCCUCCUCCUCCGCCAUGGCCGGCGGCGCUGGCUUCUCUUCUCCUGGCGCGUGGGGGGUGGCUAGGCGGCGGAGGCGGCGGUCGGGGAGGGUUUGGGAAGAGACUUGACGAUAUUUCGCUGCUGGGGUCUUAAGGUCUUGCAGCGCUUAGUGGGCUGGGCCAAGGGCCGACCGUACAACACUUGCUGGGUUUCAAUUUGAGGAGGCCCAGUUGGGUGGGGGAAAAUGAACAUUUUUGGCAGGUGCCGUGCUUCUCCGUUCUCCCCGUUCCGUUCGCGUCUGGGUCGUAGUCGUACAAAACCUUGUUGCUCUCGCUCGUUCGUGGUCCAAGUCUAACCCUAGCCGUCACCCCCUUCUUCCUCCCGGCAGAUAUCAGGCGGGCGGAGGGAGACGUCCUCGCCGCGACAGCAGACGCCGUCCUCUGCCCUGUGACCCCGCUGCCGACGGCCGCCGCGCGCGCCGAAGGUUCUCCUCCCCCAUAAAAGGUAUAUAUACUGUAGUUUAUGUUCGUGCUGCCGGUGAUCUCGCAAAGGACUCAAAUCGGAUUGUAUAGGAUCUUCCUUUCCUUCUAAUAAAGGGUGAUAGCUUUACUCUUAUACGCAAUUUAUCCUCGGAUUGAUUGGUGCUUAUGAUGUUCGUUCUGCUCAUUCAGCUUUUGAGAUUUAUUAGGAAACAUACGAUAUGGCUGGGGGUAGCACGGAUGCAGCAACCAAGGAGAUGGAGGCAUUGCAUGUUGGGCAAACCAAGGAAACAAACGUAAGUGCUGUGCUGCACAAUUUUUAUUUUAUUUUUUUUGCUCUGAAUUGAACCGUGAAUGUUCUUCCUUUUUCACUUAUGUUGUUCAUUCAUGGAAAAAUGGUUUGGGAUGAAGAAAAACCAAAUAGGCUAUUGACCGAUAUUAUUCUGCUUUCCAGAACUGGUAUUUACCACAAGUUGAUAACUACCAGUUGUUUCUUGCCAUAGUUGCUUUUUCAUUGCCUUAUUGGUAAAACUUGGUCAAACGGUGUCCCCUGAAUUCUCCUCGUAACUGUUUUGGAGCCUCUGACCACAUGCCAUCACUAGCCAUGCCAUGCCCGAGUUAGAAAGUGAUAUGUGAUUACAACAGCCCUACAACUGAUGCCAACUACUGUGGUCAUGUGGAUUGCUGAACCUCCCAUGUCAUCCUUCUCUCGAAUGAUCCUUGCGCUGAUGUAUAUCUUUCUUAUGGUAAAAUAAAUAACCUUCCCAUUUUUGCCGCAGGAUAUUCUGAAAAAUGCGUCAGAUAGCAAUGGUGGCGCCACGGGAGGAGCUCAGUCGUCACCACCAGCAGAUGAUGAUGAUGCACAAGUGGAUGGUCCAUCUGAAGAUGGAGCAGGAGGUGACAAUUCUAAUUUGCAAGAUCUCAUUUAUGUGUUUCUCAUAGAGCUGGACCGGUUGAUCUCUUGCUAUUCUCAGUAUAUCCUGGCUAGCAUUUGGAAUCUGGGAUAUGAAACAUGUGAUUAAUCUAAUUGUUGUGCCUCAAAUGGAUAGCUCCAGCGGCUGCGAAGAAGAAAAAGAAGAAGAGCAAGGCCAAGUGAGUUGUAUUAUUCAGUUGAACAAUUGAUGUUCUUGUUUGGUUGCUCUAUUGUACAAGCAUUUCACUUGUUCUUGUAGAAAGAAGAAGGACUCCCUUCAGCAGACAGAUCCUCCAUCAAUCCCUGUGGAUGAGCUUUUCCUUUCAGGAGAUUUUCCUGAGGGAGAAAUCCAGCAAUACAAGGAUGAGUAAGUACUGAAUUAUAGGAAUACGGUGUUUUUUAUAUCUCCAUUUGUCGCUGAUGAAGGACUCUGCAAAAUGUUAAUUAUCUUUUCUUUCGUAAAUUAAUCAUGUUACUGCUCUUCAGUAAUUUAUGGAGAACAACUAGCGAAGAAAAGAGGGAACUGGAGAGACUACAAAAACCGAUGUACAAUUCUGUUCGCCGAGCUGCAGAAGUCCAUCGACAGGUUUAGAAUAUUCUAGCCUACUAGCCUCUUUAAUUUUUUGCAGCUUCGCAACCUGUAUCUUUUGUUGGUACAUCUAAACAAUGUAAAUAUGGCUUGCUAGGUACGAAAAUACAUGAGGAGCAUUAUAAAGCCUGGAAUGCUAAUGAUGGAACUAUGCGAGACUUUGGAAAACAUGGUUCGGAAACUUAUUAAGGAGAAUGGACUGCAAGCUGGUAUUGCCUUUCCAACAGGAUGCUCGUUGAAUUGGUAUGGUAUUGCUCUAGUGUACUUCCUAGUACUGCGUCCCCUUCUCACAUUGACGGAAGAAUUUUUUGCUUAGGGUCGCAGCUCACUGGACUCCAAAUUCUGGUGAUAAAACUGUGCUACAAUAUGAUGAUGUGAUGAAGCUGGAUUUUGGGACACAUAUAGAUGGUAUGUCUGUUUUAUUACUUUGUUUGAUUCUUUCUUCAUUGAACUUUGGUGUAUACUUAUUGCUUUGUCCUUGUAAGUACUCAUGAUAUUAAGAAUCUCAUAAACUAACAUGAUAGUGUGAUUAUUCCCAGGGCACAUAGUUGAUUGUGCAUUUACCGUUGCAUUUAAUCCCAUGUUUGAUCCAUUGCUUCAAGCAACGAAAGAUGCCACAAAUACUGGAAUCAAGGUAAUUCUACACAUUUUGUUUACUCUUCCAAUGUUGUGGUACAUUUUAACUCAAAAUGUACUCAGAUACUACCAAAUGAAUGCUUUCCGUAAGCAGCUUUGCUCGUAGUAUUUCUGAUAGCAGCUCUACUUAGUGGAAGAACACGGUGAUAGUUUUCGUUAAAGCCUGUGCUUUUGGUUACCUGCUGUAGUGUCUGUUUCAGCAUGCUGUCAUUUCUCCAGCUUUUUAUAUAGUGUUUUGGUUGGAUCUGAUCUGAGUUUCGUUUUUCACCUGUUAAUGGUCUGAUCUAUGGAUGUUUGAAAUCAUAUCCCCCAAGUCAUGUCUAUUCUUUGUUUAAUAAUGCUUAAUCCUCCAUUCCAGGAAGCUGGAAUAGAUGCACGGCUUUGUGAUGUCGGUGCUGCAAUUCAAGAAGUCAUGGAGUCAUAUGAGGUUGAAAUUAAUGGGAAAGUUUUCCAAGGUAUGUGUUGUCUUUUCUUUCCCAUUCUGCACUAGUAGAAUUGUAGUGACAGCAUGACGAUUUAAAUGGCUUCUUUGUUUUGCGGCAGUAAAAAGUGUGCGAAACCUCAAUGGACACAGCAUUGGACCAUACCAAAUCCAUGCUGGUAAAUCAGUUCCGAUUGUAAAAGGCGGAGAGCAAACAAAAAUGGAGGAGGGUGAAUUUUAUGCCAUUGAAACUUUUGGGUCUACAGGUAUGUCAUUAUAUAGCUUUAACUUGUAAGCCCAGAUACACUAAGUCAUUUUCAUCACAUUACUCACAGUUUUUAUAUCACUUUCUAUAAGAGUAUCUAACUAGCAUGGCUUUUGGCUUUACAACUGAUGUCUGUUUUCCCUACUUUUUUCAAUUUUUGGACAGUUUUACAAUUCAUAAGCGCCAUUCUGUUUGUAGGAAAGGGAUUUGUGAGGGAGGAUUUGGAAUGCAGUCAUUACAUGAAGAACUUUGAUGUUGGGCAUGUACCCUUGAGGGUAGCAAAAGCCAAGCAGCUACUGGGGACAAUCAACAACAACUUUGGUACACUUGCAUUUUGCCGCCGGUACUUGGACCGCAUCGGCGAGACCAAAUAUCUCAUGGCACUGAAAAAUCUAUGUGAUGUUGGCAUUGUUCAGGUAUGUGAAAUAGAAUAUACCACCGUUUCCAUCCGAAUGCCUUAUCAUGGACAUGGUCACUCACGGUUUCCUGACCUGUUUUGCAGCCGUACCCUCCGCUGUGCGACGUGAGGGGAAGCUAUGUGUCCCAGUUUGAGCACACCAUUUUGCUCCGGCCAACCUGUAAAGAAGUCAUAUCCAGAGGCGACGACUACUGAUUGGUGCUGCGUCUCCUCUUUGUACCUGCCGUUGCAAGCGAUUAGUGUUUUACUACCAUCUUGGGUGACCUGUGUUCGUUAUGGAUCAAAUGGCACAUCAGAAUCGGACAAAUAAUGCAGUUACAUUGUACCCUUUUGUUUUCUGAGAUUAAAAUUUGUGGAAACUGGUUUGUAAGAAUUGCUACCGUGUUGUAUUGCUUGAUCCCUCUAUGAAGAAUACUUCCCGAAGAUUUUUAUCAUUAGCGUGGGACAGCUGAAAAUGACACAAUGGUUUCUGUGAAGCGCUAAAGUGUUCUUUUAGCAACAAAAGCUGUUGGCAGGUUUUCUUCUCCCUGCGUCCCAUAUAAGUGUAUCUAGUCCCUCCGUUCCUUUUUGUAAGACGUUUUAGACAGUUGAUUUUAAACUGUUUUGGAAGCUGUCUGAACUAUCUAAAAGUGAACAGACAGAGUAUAUCCAUUUGAGCGGCUUAGAGCUUGUUUGGGACUGCUCUGUUUCAGAAAAGAUAAGCCAAACAGGAUAGCUCCACGAUAUGUCGCUCUGCAAAAAAACUAGAAUUUCAGGUACAACUUCAAAGUUUUUAUGAAGGUCCUGAGAGGGUGCUCCAAAAAUCUAGCUAGAAUUGGGGGAACUUACCCAUCACUGUCACUAGUAAGUGGAUGCCCCUUUAUUUCUUUCCCCUCAACCAAUCAAAUAUAUUCUUUUCACUAAAUUUUCUAUUCAUGAAACUGAAGCUAGAUGAAAGCCAAACAUUUUUUUGAUAAUGCUAUAACUUUUGUAUAAAACUGUUCUAAAAUGAAUUUGAUGAAGCGAGACUGAUUUUGAUGCAUUAAAGAAGCAGUCCUAAACAAGCCCUUAAUAUGGGGAAUAUGGGAUGGAGGGAGUAUAGUAUACUUGUACUAAUUUUGUCAUGCUUAUGCGUGGAGGGAGGAAUAUCAUUUACCAGAUGUAGAAAAGGGAGAAUCAUCCCACGGCGCCACCCACGAAUACUAAUAAUUUUUUAUAGGAAUUAGAAACUAUUUCUUCCGUCCCACAAUGUAAGAUUUUUUUUGUCAUUACACUAGGGCGGAAGUAGUUAGUUUAGCAAUGUUUUUCAAAGUGCGGCGUUUCGAUGCCCAGACUCAUCUACACUUGUUUAGUAAAAAAAAUUCAAAACAAAUACUAAUAAAGUGCGGCAUUUCGGUGCCCAGGCUCAGAAAUGGAUUUUCGUGUUUUUCAUCCACAACAUGGUCUACUUGUUUCUCUUCAAGCUCAACAUCAUCUAGAUUGGAUAGUACUUCCUCGGUGUUAAUAUAAGAUGUUACUACAACCAAGUCAACGUUGUUUGUCACUUGUUAGUCCGUUCCCGAUAAGUCAAAUGCUUAAUGUUGUUUUUGUGAUACCAAUGUUGGAUGUAAAGUGAAUGUUGUAUCUCUGGUUUACUUCGUGUCUUGUGAAGUUAUAUUAAUGUUGUUUUUAUUGUGUUCAGUAAACUAUGAAGUGUGAUCACCAGUGGCAUGUCUUGUUCCUGAUUGGUGAUGCGGAUUUAGUGUUUUGGACCAUGAGAUAAAUGUCGGAAGGUGAUGGUGGAUUUUUGCUCUUCGAUCAAACAAGAUCAACAAAAAGGUCAUUCAAACAAGUUACUUAGUUUAGUUUUUUCUUAACACAGCAUAGUUCAGAUAGUUAAGUUUUUUUUGGUGAAAUCACCCCAUCACGUUCAUGUGUGCUAUUUUUUCUGAAUUUAUUUGAGGCUCUUUGAUGAUUUUCGUUCAAUGAAAGAAGAUGUUCUUAACGACUACAAAAGCACAUGUGAUGACUCCGGUAAUAUGAAGAUAUUGUGUCAGCUCAAUACUCAUAUGUGCUCAUAGGGACAAGGUGUGCAUACAUGUGUUCAUGAAGAUGAGCAUAUAUGUGCAUGUAAACACAUCUACUAUGUUAAAAAAACAGGUGUUAAGGGCCUGCCGUGUGGUGUGUGGCAUCUUGUCCCGAAUGACUCCAUCGACAUCCUUUUUAUUCCAGCAUGAACCAGAGAAGGCACGUUGCCACGUCAUCCUUUUGCAAUCGUUCGAGCGGGAUCAUGAGCGACUCGACCACAACCCAAACCCCCUAUCGAUUCAUUUUGACACCCACAACCACGCGCACACCCCCACACUAUCGAUUCACAGUAGCUGCGGGGUGGAGGUGAGCAUCGCCCGAUAGUUUCAAACGUGUACCACAACAGGGAAGGCGGAAGGGGGCGGCUAGGGUUAGAGAUCCAUCGCGUCUAUUCGCCCUACCCUAUGAACGACCGGGGGGCUGGGGUCCCUGGCGCGGCUUGGCCUCCAUGGUGGACACCGACGUGGGAGAGAGCUUUGAUGUCUACUACACAACAUUCUUCUUGUAGACUCGUGUUUGGCCUCCAAGCGUAGAGUUUUGUAGGACAGUAGCAAAUUUCCCUCAAGUGGAUGACCUAAGGUUUAUCAAUCCAUGGGAGGCGUAGGAUGAAGAUGGUCUCUCUCAAGCAACCCUGCAAUCAAAUAACAAAGAGUCUCUUGUGUCCCCAACACACCCAAUACAAUGGUAAAUUGUAUAGGUGCACUAGUUCGGCGAAGAGAUGAUGAUACAAGUGUAAUAUGGAUGGUAGAUAUAGGUUUUUGUAAUUCGAAAAUAUAAAAAACAGCAAGGUAACAAAUAGUAAACAUCGAGCAAAACGUUGUAUAAAUGCUUGGAAACAAGGCCUAGGGCCCAUACCUUCACUAGUGCAAGUUCUCUCAACAAUACUAACAUAGUUGAAUCAUAUAUAAAUCCCUCACGUGCGACAAAGAGUUCACUUCAAAGUCAAAAAUAACGGAGAACAACCGAAGAAAUUAUUGUAGGGUACAAAACCACCUCAAAGUUAUCUUUUCCGAUCAAUCUUAUGAGCUAUCCCUAGAAGUGUCACGAACAACCCUCGAGUUUGUACUAAAAUAACACCUUAAAAUACAGAUCAACCAAAACCCUAAUGUCACCUAGAUACUACAAUGUCACCACAAGUACCCAUGGGCUUGAUUAUACGAUAUUCAUCACACAAUUUCAGAUUCAUGAUGCUCAAUCCAACACAAAGAACAUCAAAGAGUGCCCCGAAGUUUCUACCGGAGAGUCAAGACGAAAACAUGUGCCAACCCCUAUGCAUAGAUUCCCAAGGUCAUGGAACCCGCAAGUUGAUCACCAAAACAUACAUCAAGUGGAUCAAUAGAACAUCCCAUUAUCACCACGCAUAUUCCAUCGCAAGACAUACAUCAAGUGUUCUCAAAUCCUUAAAGACUCAAUCCAAUAAGAAAACUUCAAAGGGAAAACUCAAUUCAUCACAAGAAGAUAGAGAGCGAGAAACUCCAUAUGAUUCAUCUAUAUUAAUAAAGCUCGCGACACAUCAAGAUCAUGACAUCUCAAGAACACGAGAGAUAGAGAUUAAACACAUAGCUCCUAGUACAUACCCUCAGCCCCGAGGAGGAUUACUCACACAUUAUUAUGGUGAGAAAGAGAGAUUUGUUGAUGGAGAGGUGUAGCCCCGAAGAGACGGAGGCGAUAGCGGCCACGACACCGGCAACGGGUGGCGGCGGUGGCGACGGGCAGCGACCCCUUGCCCCUCCGCCUUCCUUGGUCUUGGUGCUGCAAUGGAGGAGCAUCUCCCCUUCUUGGCGGCUGCCAAGGGAGAGGCAAAUUCGUGGCUCUUGGUGGCUACACCAAAAUUAUGAUUUUUCUCUCUUUAUAUGUGCCUCUGUGGUGCUCUAUGGCCUUACGAUGGAUGGACCCUUGAUCCAAUGGCUCUCGAUGUAACAUCCCAAAAUUAUAAAUUUUGGAAUGUUAAUAUAAUUAUUAUUAGAUUGUUUGUUGGUUGCCUGAGUGAUUGAAACUUGUGUGAAAUUUAAAACUUUUCGAAACUUUNNNNNNNNNNNNNNNNNNNNNNNNNNNNNNNNNNNNNNNNNNNNNNNNNNNNNNNNNNNNNNNNNNNNNNNNNNNNNNNNNNNNNNNNNNNNNNNNNNNNNNNNNNNNNNNNNNNNNNNNNNNNNNNNNNNNNNNNNNNNNNNNNNNNNNNNNNNNNNNNNNNNNNNNNNNNNNNNNNNNNNNNNNNNNNNNNNNNNNNNNNNNNNNNNNNNNNNNNNNNNNNNNNNNNNNNNNNNNNNNNGAAUUUGAACGGAGAUAUUUGCACUUGAAUUCUUUUGCAUUUCCAUUCGUUUUCUUCGUGCAAGAAAUGCCGGGAAAUACAUUCUAGAGAGGAGGAACAUGACCCUCAAACCCACGGGCAUUUUGAAAGUUAUUUGAACCCUAAAACUUAGAGGGUCAUUUGAAAACUAUUUGCAAAAGAAAAUAAAUCUUUUAGGUAAUUUUGUGAAAAUAAUUUUUUCUGAAGUUUUUAUUUUGCCGUGGAAAAAUGCCCAUCAUUUAUAUUUUAUUUUUCUGAUAAUUUUAGUAUAUAGAAACUCUUUAUUCCAAAUUGAUUUGAAUUCCCUUUUAUCGUUUUAGUUUCCUAGUUUUAAAAAUAGGAAAGAAAUCGUUUCUAUUAGGAAACUCCUGCUGGCCCAUUAAGCACUUUCCUAUUCUGGCCCAACAGAGAUCAUCUUCUUCCUCUAUCUCUUCUUCACGUCACAGAAACUUGCCUUCCAUGGACAGGGGAAUCCCCACCUCCGGGAUUCGCGAAGCACCUUCCCUCCGAGCGCCUCCCGUCGCCUCUAUAAGAACCCCCAUGGCCUCCUCGUUCCAUUCCCGUUGAAACCACCGNNNNNNNNNNNNNNNNNNNNNNNNNNNNNNNNNNNNNNNNNNNNNNNNNNNNNNNNNNNNNNNNNNNNNNNNNNNNNNNNNNNNNNNNNNNNNNNNNNNNUAAAAGCAACGAGAGAAGAUGACAUGACUUCUUCAAUUAUACAGAAUUUGAACGGAGAUAAUUGCGUUGAAUUCUUUUGCUUUUCCAUUUUUCCAUCGCGCGAGAAAUGUCCGGAGAAAACUCUCUUGCACGCAAGAGAGAGAGCGGAGGAAAAUGACACUCCAAAACUGCGGGCAAUUUAUUGGAGUGGAGAUAAUAUGACUUCUCCCCUGUGAGUUAAAGUCACCAAUUUGGUUUUGCAAAUUUUCUAAAGUCCGAAGUAUUUUUUUUUUGUUGAGUUUUUCAAUCGAGUUGUGUGACCUAUUGCAUAAAACUCUUCUUUCGAAAGUUUUGCAUUAGGUGGAACUAGGGUUCCUAUAUAUAUUAUAUAUAUACUAGCUGUAUAUAUUUCUGUUUUGUUUUUCUCCUAAGUAUUCUAGUGUAUAUAUAUAUAUUAGUACCUACUUUUUUUUCUAGUAUUUGUUAGCUAGGAAAUAUUUUUUAUUGUUUUUUUCUUUUUGCUACUGUUUUCUAGUGAUAAAAUCUUACUGUGAUAUAAUUUUCAGAAUUUUUAAAGUAUUUUUUACUGGUGUUUUCAACAGAAACAAGUUUCUGCCCUACCGGCGCGCGAUAAAUUCUUUUGCGUAGUCUUUUGCAAAUCAUUGCAUGUGAUGUUAUUUUUACUUGUGGCAUGAUUGAAUUGCUUAUGGUGUGCUUUGUGUUUUUAUCGGUAGAUCAUCCGGAGUGCGAAGCAUGUUACUUAGAGACGCUCGAGCAGGACAACUAUCAUCAAGGCAAGUCAUCUUUGAUCAUGUUAUUUUACCUAUGUUUUCAAUGCAUAGUAGAUCACCUUCUUUGCCCUAUUUGCAUGCUGCCUAGGUACUUGGACACUUUAGUCAUAGGUGUAGUAUCCUGUGGUAGGAACACCAACACCCCGAUACUUGGCCCCGGGACGAUAAUGUUAUAUAUGCUAUGCUCUAGUAGACGGGUUAUCGGUUGAGUGUAUACCACGAGUGGAUGCGAGGUUGAUAUAAUAAUCAAGACCGGACUAAGACAAGAUUUUCAAGACCUCAGACGCAAUGCAACACUGGGUGAAGGACGGUUGACCGGCUCCCUGGAAAACCCAGUGGAUGCCCGGGAUGCUGGAGAGGCCAUGUCAUCCUGCGGAAAGCUUCACCCAGGCUCAAAGAGACGGACGGAUAUUUUCAAGACUCAAGGCUUACCUGCACAGCCACAAGUCAUUAUGGGCUCUGGCUUGGUUGGACAACGCGGCGACUCUGGACAGGCGAUGUUAGCAGAUGUAGACGAACGGUAGGAAUGGAUGGGCACCGACAGGGAUUCAGAGGGACCCAUUGAAAGACCAUGUUUUGAUCAUCCGGUCUUCAAACACCCUGAAGUGCGAGGACAUACACGGAGGCGAUCAAAUCUUGUGGGGAACGUGUGCAAAACUCUGCAGAGUACUCAAACCUAAUCGAUUAGCCGUGUCCACGGUCAUGGACAACUUGAGCCAAAGGAACUGAAGUUAUCUGAAAUUUUCAACACAAAUAACAAUAUUUAUGUGGGUAUUAUUGACAACAUGGGUACGAGAAUUGGUUGGUGGAACCAUCUCGUUAACAACCAACAAUGUACUAACAUUUUGCUUUUAGCCCUCUCUUGAUGUAGGAGAAAACUUGCUUUUCGCUAAAAACUUAUAGCCCCACCUGCCAUAUAUGCAUAUAGUAUAGAUGAUUACUUUUCACCCCUCUCUUAUGUGACUUGCCGGCAUAUUCAAUAUGCUGACCUACACGGCUGCAACGUCUUAUGUUGCAGAUAUUUUUCUUCGACGAGUAAGAGUACGAUUCAGGGUUACGGUCUACACUCAACUUGCCGUUGGUGUUUAUUGGGACUCCACUCCCUUGACUGCUUCCGCUGAAAUAUUUAAGGUAUAUAUCAGUUUUACGCUAUUUUACAUGUGAUUGCACUUUGAUAUAUACAUUGAUGUACUGUGUGUGCCAGCAUACUGAUCCAGGGAUGGCACAGAAACACAGAGGCUUGACUCGUCUUGAGUCGGGUCGCUACACUCGGGCACCUCUAGAACCUUCCUAGGGGCUCCUCACAACCCUCAUGAGUCUCCAAAAUCGUGGCUUGGCCGAAUAUAUCACAUAUGUUAAGAGUUAGACUCAAUCACGUCAACAAUUCUCGCGAUCCCGUAAUAAGAUAUUUGCCUUCAGUAAAAUGGGUCGCCAGAUCGCAUACGAACUCCGUUUUGGACGAAUUUGUACUCUAGAAUCAUUGCCAUAAAAUUCCCCACAAGUUUCUAGUUUUAAUUUUUCCAUUUGACGCCGUCUCGAGGGGUCAAAGUGACGAUCUCUAAAAACUGUUUGUGGACAUAUUUCAGGAAAGUCAGAGUCCUCCUUCAACAAGGCUCCUUUUGCGUUAUUUUCGACAAUUUCUAAUUAAUGCCUACAAAAUAAAGUGUAAAACACGAACUUGUGCAAUUUUGCAACCAUUAAUAGGUUAGUCUCAAAAAAUAAUAUGAAAUUGUAGUAAAAUGAUUGUAAAACAUUCAAGAAUGAUAAUAUAACAACAUGGAACAAGCAAAAAUUAUAGAUAUGUUGGAGACGUAUCAGCAUCCCCAAGCUGAAUUCCUGCUCGUCCUCGAGAAGGUAAAUGAUAAAAACAGAUUUUUUUGAUGUGAAAUGUUGCUUAACAUGUUCAUAAAAUUAUUUUCUUCUUUGUAUAACAUGGAUAUUUGGACUUGUAAGUGAUUCAAAGCAAUAGUCUAGUUUUAUCAUAAUGACAUCAAUACUCAAGCAUGUCAACAAGCAACCAUGUCUUUCAAAAUAUCAACACUAAAGAAAGUUAUCCCUAGCCCAUCAUGCUCAAUCAUUGAUACACUCAUGAAACACACUCACAUAUUAGCUGUGCCCAAUGCUCAAGUACGAUCAUAGUGUUCCCUAGUUUGUGCUUAUAAGAGAAGAUGGAGAAUCAAAGCAAAAAUAAAAAAAAUUAUAAAGUAAAUAGAUAGGCCCUUCACAGAGGGAAGUAGGGAUUUAUAGAGGUGCAAGAUCUCAAGGUUUAAAUUGAGAGAGAAAAAUUAUUUUGAGUAGCAUGCUUUUCGUGUCAACAAAAACGACAAAGUAGCUCACAAUACUUUCCAUGCUAGAUACAUUAUAGGUGGUUUCCAAAAAGAAUGGUAAAGUUUUUACUCCCCCUCCACCAGUCAACCACACUCUAUGGUGAGCCGAAUCCACGGGUACCGUCCAUACCAACAACAUUCCUGGGAGAUUUUUGUUUCAUUAUAUUUGAUUUGAUUUUUGAGCAUGGAACUCGGCAUCCCGAAUACUAGCCACUUUCUCGCGAAUCAUAGUGAAUCAACACAUAUCGUGAUAUUAACCCACCUAGCAUGGAAAAAUAUUGGAUACUCCCCACCGUUUCAUGAGCGGUACAGGCACACAAAAGAGAAAAAUUAUUUUGAAAAUUUAGAGAUGGAACAUACAAAUUUGCUUGGAAGGCAUGGAAAUACCACAUAUAGGUAGGUAUGAUGGACUCAUGAGGUAAAACUUGGUUUAAGGAUUUUGGAUGCACAAGUACUAUUUCUACUUAGUACAAAUGAAGGAUAGCAAAUAGACUGGGAAGCAACCAAACCGAGGAACGAAAAAUCUCAUAAGUGAGCAUUAAGUCAUAACUAACACCGAAUAAUGCACCACAAGUAGGAUGUAACUUCAUUGCAUAACUAUUGACUUUCGUGCAUGCAUAGGAAAUCACAAACCUUAACACCAACAUUCCUACUUAAAGCAUAAUUACUCACUAACAUGACUCGCAUAUUACUAUCAUCAUGUUUCAAAUCUAUUACAAAGAAUCAAGUUUAAUUUGUCCCAUGAUCAUCAUGAAAGUUUUCAUUAUAUCCCUCUUGGAUAUCUAUCACUCUGAGACUAGUUUCAUAUAUUGCCAUUGCUUUUUCGACAAGCUCAAACAAAUUUAAAUGAAGAACAUGAGCAUAAAGAUUUCAUCCCUCAAAAACGUAUAAGUGAAGCAUGAGAGGAAAUGACAAGCUACUCUCAAAAGAUAUAAGUGAAGAUCAAUGAGUAGUCAAACAAUUAAGUAGCUAUGUGAGGACUUUCUCUCUCUCUGUCUUAAUAAAGAUUUUCAGAUCUGAGUACUUUAUUAAACAGAGAGCAAAAGGAAAACAUCACUCCAAGAAUAGCACGUAUCAUGUGAACGAGUAAAAAUUUAGGGCUCAACAUAGGCUAACCGAUAAUGGUUGAUGAAGAGAGGUGAGAUGUGUAGCAUUCCUAAGCUUAGAUGCUUGAGAGUUCUUGAAAUAUUUACUUGAGGUGCCUUGGGCAUCUCCAAGCUUGAGCUUUUGUACCUUGGUUUCACCUAUUCUCAAAAACUUCAUCCACACAAAACUCGAAAAAAAACUCGUGAGAUAGGUUAGUACACAUAAUAAUAAAUCAACUCUUUAUGUAAUGUCAAGACAAGUUGCAUAAUAAUUGCAAACAUCAUCUACUGUUUACUAUAAUUUCCACAAUUUAUAUCUAUCAGUAUAGGAUAUGAGAACUAUAGGAUAACUAGAUAACAAAACUAUGACAUCAAUCUGUCCAAACAGAACAGUGUAGCAAUUUAUUUAAACAGUGUACUUAUGUAAUUCAAACAAUUAUGAAAAUUUAGUACAUGCUAUAAAAUUUAUAUGAAAACACUGUGUAAAAAGUUCAGAAACUUUCCACAUUUCAGUAAAAUCUGAAAAUUCAAACACUACAGCACGAGUUUCUGUUUUUACACAUCACCAAUGAAAGCAUGCAAUGCAAGCACUGAAGGGGAACGUCGCAUGGGAAACAAAAAUUUUCUACGCGCACGAAGACCUAUCAUGGUGAUGUCCAUCUACGAGGGGGAUUUCAGAUCUACGUACCCUUGUAGAUCGCACAGCAGAAGCGUUAAUAAACAUGGUUGAUGUAGUGGAGCGUCCUCACGUCCCUCGAUCCUCCCCACGAACCUUCCUACGAACCGUCCCGCGAUCCGUCCCACGAUCCGCCCCGAUCUAGUGCCGAACGGACGGCACCUCCGCGUUCAGCACAUGUACAACUCGACGAUGAUCUCGGCCUUCUUGAUCCAGCAAGAGAGACGAAGAGGUAGAUGAGUUCUCCGGCAGCGUGACGGUGCUCCGGAGGUUGGUGGUGAUCUAAUCUCAGCAGGGCUCCAUCCGACCUCCGCAGAAACGCGAUCUAGAGGAAAAACCGUGGAGGUAUGUGGUCGGGCUGCCGUGGCAAAGUUGUCUCAAAUCAGCCCUAAUACCUCCGUAUAUAUAGGUGGGAGGGGAGGGGCCUUGCCUUGAGGCUCAAGGAGCCCCAAGGGGGUCGGCCGAAGGGGGGGGGGAGGAGAAAUCCUCCUCCAAUCCUAGUCCAACUAGGAUUGGAAGGUGGAGUCCUUCCCUUCCUUCCCACUUCCUUUUUUUUUCUUUUCUCUUUGAUUUCUUCUUAUCCUGCGUAGGGGCCUUCUUGGGCUUGCCCACCAGCCCACUAAGGGAUGGUGCGGCACCCCUAAGGCCUAUGGGCUUCCCCAGGGUGGGCUGCCCCCAGUGAACAUCCGGAACCCAUUCGUCAUCCCCGGUACAUUCCCGGUAAUUUUGAAAACUUUCCGGUAAUCAAAUGAGGUCAUCCUAUAUAUCAAUCUUCGUCUCCCGACCAUUCCAGAAACCCUCGUGACAUCCGUGAUCUCAUCCGGGACUCCAAACAACAUUCGGUAACCNNNNNNNNNNNNNNNNNNNNNNNNNNNNNNNNNNNNNNNNNNNNNNNNNNNNNNNNNNNNNNNNNNNNNNNNNNNNNNNNNNNNNNNNNNNNNNNNNNNNNNNNNNNNNNNNNNNNNNNNNNNNNNNNNNNNNNNNNNNNNNNNNNNNNNNNNNNNNNNNNNNNNNNNNNNNNNNNNNNNNNNNNNNNNNNNNNNNNNNNNNNNNNNNNNNNNNNNNNACAUGACCCGAGGGACUCCUGGUCAAUAUACAAUAGCGGGACCUGGAUGCCCAUAUUGGAUCCUACAUAUUCUACGAAGAUCUUAUCGUUUGAACCUCAGUGCCAAGGAUUCAUAUAAUCCCGUAUGUCAUUCCCUUUGUCCUUCGAUAUGUUACUUGCCCGAGAUUCGAUCGUCAGUAUCUGCAUACCUAUUUCAAUCUCGUUUACCGGCAAGUCUCUUUACUCGUUCCGUAAUACAAGAUCCUAUGACUUACACUAAGUCACAUUGCUUGCAAGGCUUGUGUGUGAUGUUGUAUUACCGAGUGGGCCCCGAGAUACCUCUCCGUCACACGGAGUGACAAAUCCCAGUCUUGAUCCAUACUAACUCAACGGACACCUUCGGAGAUACCUGUAGAGCAUCUUUAUAGUCACCCAGUUACGUUACGACGUUUGAUACACACAAAGUAUUCCUCCGGCGUCAGUGAGUUAUAUGAUCUCAUGGUCAUAGGAAUAAAUACUUGACACGCAGAAAACAGUAGCAACAAAAUGACACGAUCAACAUGCUACGUCUAUUAGUUUGGGUCUAGUCCAUCACAUGAUUCUCCCAAUGACGUGAUCCAGUUAUCAAGCAAAAACACCUUGGACAUAGUCAGAAGACCCUGACUAUCCUUGAUCAACUGGCUAGCCAACUAGAGGCUUGCCAGGGACAGUGUUUUGUCUAUGUAUCCACACAUGUAUCAAUAAAAUUAUAGCAUGGAUAAUAAACGAUUAUCUUGAUACAGGAAUUAUAAUAAUAACUUAUUUAUCAUUGCCUCUAGGGCAUAAUUCCAACAGUCUCCCACUUGCACUAGAGUCAAUAAUCUAGCCCUCACAUCACCAUGCGAAUUACAUUGUAAUAAAUCUAACACCCAUACAGUUCUGGUGUUGAUCAUGCUUUGCCUGUGGAAGAGGUUUAGUUAGCGGGUCUGCCACAUUCAGAUCCGUGUGCACUUUGCAUAUAUUUACGUCCUCCCCUUCCACUGAGUCGCGGAUGAGGUUGAAGCGUUGUUUGAUGUGUCUGGUCUUCUUGUGAAACCGUGGUUCCUUUGCUAAGGCAAUGGCACCCGUGUUGUCACAAAACAGGGUUAUUGAAUUCAGUGCACUUGGCACCACUCCAAGAUCCGUCAUGAACUGCUUCAUCCAGACACCCUCUUUAGCCGCCUCCGAGGCGGCCAUGUACUCCGCUUCACAUGUAGAAUCAGCUACGACGCUUUGCUUGGAACUGCACCAGCUUACCGCAUCCCCAUUAAGAAUAGAUACGUAUCCGGUCUGUGACUUAGAGUCAUCCGGAUUUGUGUCAAAGCUUGCAUCGACGUAACCUUUUACAGCGAGCUCUUCGUCACCUCAAUACAUGAGAAACAUCUCCUUAGUACUUUUCAGGUACUUCAGGAUAUUCUUGACCGCCGUCCAGUGAUCCACCCCUGGAUUACUCUCGAACCUACCUGCUAUACUUAUGGCCAGGCAAACGUUUGGUCUAGUGCACAACAUUGCAUACAUGAUAGAACCUAUGGCUGAAGCAUAGGGGACGGUGCUCAUAUGCUCUCUAUCUUUAUCAGUUGCUGGGCACUGAGUCUUACUCAAUCUCGUACCUUGUAAAACUGGCAAGAACCCCUUCUUGGACUGUUCCAUUUUGAACCUCUUCAAAACUUUAUCAAGGUAUGUACUUUGUGAAAGUCCUACCAGGCGUUUUGAUCUAUCCCUAUAGAUCUUAAUGCCUAGAAUGUAAGCAGCUUCUCCUAGGUCCUUCAUAGAGAAACUUUUAUUCAAGUAAUCCUUUAUGCUCUCCAAAAACUCCAAGUUGUUUCCAAUCAGCAAUAUGUCAUCCACAUAUAAUAUUAGCAAUGCCACAGAGUUCCCACUCACUUUCUUGUAAAUACAAGAUUCUCCAACCACUUGUAUAAACCCAAAUGCUUUGAUCACCUCAUCAAAGCGUUUAUUCCAACUCCGAGAUGCUUGCACCAGUCCAUAAAUGGAUCGUUGGACCUUGCAUACUUUGUUAGCAUUUUUAGGAUCGACCAAACCUUUGGGUUGCAUCAUAUACAACUCUUCCUUAAGGAAACCGUUAAGGAACGCUGUUUUGACAUCCAUCUGCCAGAUUUCAUAAUCGAAAAAUGCAGCUAUUGCUAACAUGAUUCUGACGGACUUAAGCAUCACUACGGGUGAGAACGUCUCAUCGUAGUCAACUCCUUGAACUUGUGAAAAACCAUUUGCCACAAGUCGAGCUUUAUAAACGGUCACAUUACCGUCAGCGUCCGUCUUCUUCUUAAAGAUCCAUUUGUUCUGAAUAGCCUUGCGGCCUUCAGGUAGUACUUCCAAAGUCCACACUUUGUUUUCAUACAUAGAUCCUAUCUCGGACUUCAUGGUCUCCAACCAUUUGUUGGAAUCCGGGCCCACCAUUGCUUCUUUGUAAUUCGCAGGCUCAUUUUUGUCCAACAACAUUAUUGAUAAGACGGGAUUACCGUACCACUUUGGGGUAGUACGCGGUCUCGUCGACCUGCGAGGUUCGACAGGAACUUGAUCCGGAGUUUCAUGAUCAUCAUCAUUAACUUCCUCCUCAACCGGUGUCGCAACGACAGGGGUUUCCCCUUGCCCCGCGCCACCAUCCAGAGGGAUGAGAGGUUCGACAAUCUCAUCAAGUUCUAUCUUCCGCCCACUCAAUUCUCUCAAGAGAAACUCCUUCUCGAGAAAAGCUCUGUUCUUAGCAACAAACACUUUGCCCUUGUAUUUGAGAUAGAAGGUAUACCCAACUGUCUCUUUUGGGUAACCUAUGAAGAUGCACUUUUCCGUUUUGGGUUCCAGCUUUUCAGGCUGAAGCUAUUUGACAUAAGCAUCACAUCCCCAAACUUUAAGAAACAACAACUUUGGUCUUUUGCCAUACCACAGUUCGUAUGGUAUCGUCUCAACGGAUUUUGAUGGUGCCCUAUUUAAAGUGAAUGCAGCUGUUUCUAAUGCAUAACCCCAAAACGAUAACGACAAAUCGGUAAGAGACAUCAUAGAUCGCACCAUCUCUAAUAAAGUACGAUUACGACGUUCGGACACACCAUUACGUUCUGGUGUUCCAGGCGGUGUCAACUGUGAAACAAUUCCACAUUGUCUUUUGUGAGCACCAAACUCGAAACUCAGAUAUUCACCCCCACGAUCAGACCGUAGGAACUUGAUCUUCUUGUUAUGAUGAUUUUCCACUUCACUCUGAAAUUGCUUGAACUUUUCAAAUGUUUCAGACUUGUGCUUCAUCAAGUAGACAUAACCAUAUCUACUCAAAUCGUCAGUGAAGGUGAGAAAAUAACGAUAUCCGCCGCGUGCCUCCACACUCAUCGGACCACACACAUCGGUAUGUAUGAUUUCCAACAAGUCACUUGCACGCUCCAUUGUUCCGGAGAACGGAAUUUUAGUCAUCUUGCCCAUGAGGCAUGGUUCGCACGUGUCAAGUGAAUCAAAGUCAAGUGACUCCAAAAGUCCAUCGGUAUGGAGUUUCUUCAUGCGCUUUACACCAAUAUGACCUAAGCGGCAGUGCCAUAAAAACAUGGCGCUAUCAUUGUUAACUCUAACUCUUUUGGUCUCAAUGUUAUGUAUAUGUGUAUUAUCACUAUCAAGAUUCAAUAUGAACAAUCCUCUCACAUUGGGUGCAUGACCAUAAAAGAUAUUACUCAUAGAAAUAGAACAACCAUUAUUCUCUGACUUAAACGAGUAACCAUCUCGCAAUAAACAAGAUCCAUAUAUAAUGUUCAUGCUUAACGCACGCACUAAAUAACAAUUAUUUAAGUUCAUAACUAAUCCUGAUGGUAACUAAAGUGAAACUGUGCCGACGGCGAUUGCAUCAAUGUUGGAACCAUUUCCCACGCGCAUCGUCACUUCAUCCUUCGCCAGCCUUCGCUUAUUCUGCAGUUCCUAUUUCGAGUUGCAAAUAUGAGCAACAGAACCGGUAUCGAAUACCCAGGCACUACUACGAGAGCUGGUUAAGUACACAUCAAUAACAUGUAUAUCAAAUAUACCUGAUUUUUCUUUGGCCGCCUUCUUAUCAACCAGAUACUUGGGGCAGUUGCGUUUCCAGUGACCCAUACCCUUGCAAUAAUAGCACUCCAUUUCAGGCUUAGGUCCAGCUUUGGGUUUCUUCGUCGGAUUGGCAACAGGCUUGCCGCUCUUCUUCGAAUUACCGUUCUUUCCUUUGACGUUUCUCUUGAAACUACUGGUCUUAUUCACCAUCAACACUUGAUGCUCUUUACGGAGUUCUGACUCUACAACUUUCAGCAUCGCGAACAACUCGCCGGGUGACCUGUUCAUCCCUUGCAUGUUGUAGUUCAACACAAAGCCCUUAUAGCUUGGCGGUAGUGAUUGAAGAAUUCUGUCAGUGAUAGCCUCUUGCGGGAGUUCAAUCCCCAGCUCAGCUAGACGGUUUGAGUACCCAGACAUUUUGAGCACAUGUUCACUGACAGACGAAUUCUCCUCCAUCUUGCAAGCAUAGAAUUUAUCGGAGGUCUCAUACCUCUCGAUCCGGGCGUUCUUCUGAAAGAUAAACUUCAACUCUUGGAACAUCUCAUAUGCUCCAUGACGCUCAAAGUGACGUUGAAAUCCCGGCUCUAAGCCAUACAAGACUGCACAUUGAACUACUGAGUAGUCCUCCUUACGUGUUAACCAAGCAUUCUUAACAUCUUGGUCAGCCGUAGCGGGUGGUUCAUCUCCUAGCACAGCAUUAAGGACAUCAUCCUUCUUCCCAGCUUGCAGGAGCAACUUAAGAUUACGAGCCCAGUCUACAAAGUUGCUUCCAUCAUCUUUCAACUUAGCUUUCUCUAGGAACGUAUUAAAAUUCAGGGUGAGUGUCGCGUGAGCCAUGAUCUACAACACAAAUAUAUUCAAAGUGGACUUAGACUAUGUUCAAGAUAAUUAGAGUUUAACUUAAUCAAAUUACUUGCUAAACUCCCACUCAAAAAGUACAUCUCUCUGGUCAUUUGAGUGGUUCAUGAUCCAAUUCCACUAGCUCAAGUCUGAUCAUCACGUGAGUUGAGGAUAGUUUCAGUGGUAAGCAUCCCUAUGCUAAUCAUAUCAACUAUAUGAUUCAUGAUCGACCUUUGGGUCUCAUGUGUUCCGGGGCCAUGUCUGCACAUGCUAGGCUCGUCAACCUUGACCUGAGUGUUCCGCGUGUGCAACUGUUUUGCACCCGUUGUAUGUGAACAUUGAGUCUAUCACACCCGAUCAUCACGUGGUGUCUCGAAACGACGAACUGUAGCAACGGUGCACAGUCGGGGUGUAACAUCCCAAAAUUAUAAAUUUUGGAAUGUUAAUAUAAUUAUUAGAUUGAUUGAUUGUUUGUUUGCUGAGUGAUUGAAACUUGUGUGAAAUUUGAAACUUUUUGAAACUUUUGAAUGAGAGGGAAUAAAAUGACUUUCCCCUUCUCCGAUGAAUUCAAAUUAAAGCUUUUAAAAGCAACGAGAGAAGAUGUCAUGACUUCUUCAAUUAUACAGAAUUUGAACGGAGANUGAGUCGGGUCGCUACAGAGAUGGUAUCAGAGCACAUGUUGACUGUAGGGCAUGACCCUAGAAACUGGAAAUUUCUUAGGAUAGGAUCUCUCAAAAAUCUUAUUUUCAACAACACCUUUUACCUCUCAUCUCUCCUCAUUUCAUCAAAUGUUCUUUCUCACCUCAAAUAGUUAUACAAUCCCCUUACCCCUUUGACCUCAUGAAGGAUCAACCGACUCCCAUGUCAAAGUAAAGAGGAUAUCACCAUGUGUUUGAAGAAUUGACGCUACACCAAAAGAGGACUCAAAGACCCUGAAGUGUCCGAAUAAUUAUAUGACCAUUAGAAGUCCAAACCCCUGUUAUAUACCCACGUUAGUUACGAUGAUUUGUGAGCCGUCUUUGGUGUGUGUUUUCCAACGGCCACAAAUAAAACCCAUUCUCGAAAAGAUUGUUUGUACUGUGUGUAUCUCCCUCCCUCUCUUACCCGUCUCAUCCCCAAAACCUCAACCCUACCAGAUGGAGUAUGAAGCUGGACUUGUAGUCUCUGGACCAAUGACCCAGCUGGAAGCUGAGAUAUGGAUUCAGAACAUGGAGAACCACUUCGGGAGUAACUUGAUCUCAAGGAAGUAUGAAGUGGAACACGCUCUUCAGUACUUUACACAAAGUGCUGCAAUCUGGUGGAAAAUGCACCAUGCCAUACAAGGAUUUAGUGGAGCAGAAACCUGGGAAGAAUUCAAGAGGACUUUGUUAAGAUCCCGACUUAUUCAGAAGUGCUAUGAUAAUCCGAAGAAGAAGACUUGUGCAUGCAAGAUCUGUGGAGAAAUAGGACACACCCAGGAAGAACACAAGGAUGGAUGCACUCAUUGUGAAGAAAAUCACCCAGCUGAGGAAUGCCCAAGCAGUCAGGUGACUUGUUUCUUGUGUGAAGGAACCACCCACUACCCAGCUCGGUGUCACAUUUACCCCAAGGUGCAACAAGUUGUCAAGCAGCAGAAAGAUGUAGUGAAGGAAACCCUCAAGAAGAAGAUUCUAGAAGGACCGGUGAUGAACGAAAAUAUUGAAGACCCUGAUGGACAAGGUCUGACCAGAUUUUUCUCCAAUGCAUGCUACUCAUGUGGAGAAGAAGGAGAUUAUUCACAGGACUACACGAAGAGAAGCCAAGAGUAUCUGGGAUACUUCCCGACGGAAGAAGUGGAAUUUGAUCCACUUGAAAUAGAAGAACUGGCCAAAAUAAAGGAGUCCGGAAAGAAGAAAAAGUACCCUCAGAGGAACCAAACCUGUGCAGAUAUAGACCUGAGUCAUGUCAGAUGUUACAAGUGUAUGAAAUUUGGCCACCACAACUACAUGUGCUCAGGAAGGAAGCCGGGAAUCCAAGGAGCAAAAGCAGAAGCUAAGAAGCCUCGAGACUGGUCAGAACUCAUUUGCUUUUGUUGCAAGGAAGCAGGACAUUUUGCUAGCGAUUGUCCACAAAGGAAGAAAGCUAAGAAGGAGUAGUUAAGUUUUGGCCGCGGCAAUUAGUGUAAUAUGAAGAACUCUUGUUCUUCAUGAGAUCAUGGAGUGAAAUUUUUUGUAACGGAAGUCCCUGAGAUUGUAAUAACAUCAUGAAUAAAUGGAAUUUAUUGUCUCAUGAUUGCCUAUGUUGAAAAUGUAUGCAUUGUUUCUCUAUGAGCAAAGAUCUCUGAACAAUUAUGAGGAUAUGAGAAAAUAUGGUCUAUGCAGACAUGAGUAUAAUUCAUUUAAGUGUGGUAGUAAUCGGUGAACCCACAGGAUCCAUUGAGUAGGAAUGUACCAUGAUUACCAAGGAGACAUAUACAUUCGUCUGAGUACCUAUUUACUGACACCUGCAGAUGACAACUCUCUAGGAGUCAUACCUCAAGGGCCCAGAAACGAUCAUGACCCUGACCAGUGAUCAUGAUUACCCGAAAAUCCCGAAGGACAUGAUGAAGCACAUUCAUCUUGAAGGAGAUGCAGUCUACAAAGGCUACCCAUUUGUGGAAAAUGGAGUGGAACUUUGGUACGUGGAAGUACACCUCCAUCAUGUGAAAGGAGUUUGUCCAAAGACUAUGGGGAAAUACUUUUUCAUUUCGCGUGUACCACGAGCAACCUUCUUUGAUGCUGUUCGUGAAGCUGCCAUGGAAGCCAUACGUCAGAUUGGAGAAAUACUUGAAGCAAGACUCCGUCAUACCCAGGAAUACCUGAGUGAGGUACGUGCGGAGAUGAUAGAGAUGAAGCUCAUGACCACCGUGAUGAAGCAAAAGAUGGAUGAUUUCAAGGAGCACCUCGGAAAGUUCCAGUGGAACUAAGUACCUCCAAGAAAGACAGAUGAAUAAAGUUGGCAGACAUGCUUGACCAUACCGAACAAUGUGGAUGGCAGCAAUUGUAAUAGAGUACUUUUGAAUUGGAGUUUUUGAGGAUAAAUUAAGGAUGUAAUAAAGGAUUGAUUAUGAAAUGAAUAUGAUUUAUGGAAGAAGCUAUGAAGGAUCAGCAAACGUUUUCUUAGUAGCAUACGAAAACCCGAGAGCUGUGAAGAUACGAUAGAUGUUUCGUUCAGCUUGCAGAACCAAUGGAUUAUCCGAACUUCGUUCGUGGACAAGAGAAAUUCUGCAAUGCUUGUGGGGAUGCCCAAGUGUUAGAAUGCGAGAUUCGCUAAACCUUAUACAGCGAAAUGAUUUGGGUGCGGAAUGGAUUGAUCAGCAUGACGACUUACUCUUAUCAUUUAUCUUGCUAUUCGGAAUGGUAAAUCUGAGAGACUUACCCAUAUAGAGAGACGACGUUCUUUGAAGCUUUUGUUUAAGCCUUAGAAUGGUAUGAUGAAAGCCCAUGUACAUGGCACUUGUUGUCACGCGUAGGAAAUUUUGCGGUGAGGAUGAAAACCAAGACCCGUCUCUCUGCAGGAUAACCACAAAUGGUAGACCACCAUGAGAACCAUCGAUAUGUUAUUUAGAAUUGACCACGAGACUGUCAGUUAAGAAGACCCAGUGACGGAAGAAGCUUAUAUCAACGGGAGAGCAUCACCAAAGGAUUUAAUAUGAAGACUGUGCGAUGUCAGUUGCCAAAACCCCAGAGGAUCGUUAAAGCAUUUUGAGGGACCAGUAUCUCUCAUUUUAAGUGUGGUAGCAUCCCACCUUGCCGGAGUUUGGAAUUGUUAGAAGACCCCCAAACCCUAACCUUUCUUUCUAGCCUCUUCGAAUCUCGAGGAUGAGAUUCAUUUUAAGUGUGGUAGUUUGUAACAUCCCAAAAUUAUAAAUUUUGGAAUGUUAAUAUAAUUAUUAGAUUGAUUGUUUGUUUGUUUGCUGAGUGAUUGAAACUUGUGUGAAAUUUGAAACUUUUCGAAACUUUUGAAUGAGAGGGAAUAAAAUGACUUUCCCCUUCUCCGAUGAAUUCAAAUUAAAGCUUCUAAAAGCAACGAGAGAANGAGUCGGGUCGCUACACGGGGAGAACACAAUUUCGUCUUGAAAUUUUAGUGAGAGAUCACCUCAUAAUGCUACCGUCGUUCUAAGCAAAAUAAGGUGCAUAAAAGGAUUAACAUCAUAUGCAAUUCAUAAGUGACAUGAUAUGGCCAUCAUCACGUGCUUCUUGAUCUCCAUCACCAAAGCACCGGCACGAUCUCCUGUCACCAGCGCCACACCAUGAUCUCCAUCAACGUGUCGCCAUCGGGGUUGUCGUGCUACUCAUGCUAUUACUACUAAAGCUACAUCCUAGCAAUAUAGUAAACGCAUCUGCAAGCACAAACAUUAGUUUAAAGACAACCCUAUGGCUCCUGCCGGUUGCCGUACCAUCGACAUGCAAGUCGAUAUUAACUAUUACAACAUGAUCAUCUCAUACAUACAAUAUAUCACAUCACAUCAUCGGCCAUAUCACAUCACAAGCAUACCCUACAAAAGCAAGUUAGACGUCCUCUAAUUGUUGUUGCAUGUUUUACGUGGUGACCAUGGGUAUGUAGUAGGAUCGCAUCUUACUUACGCAAACACCACAACUGAGAUAUAUGAAUUUCUAUUUAACCUCAUCCAAGGACCUCCUUGGUCAAAUCUGAUUCAACUAAAGUUGGAGAAACCGACACUCGCCAGUCAUCUUUAAGCAACAGAGUUGAUCGUAGCGAUGAAACGAGUCUCUCAUAAGCGUACGAGUAAUGUCGGUCCGAGCCGCUUCGAUCCAACAAUAUCGCGGAAUCAAGAAAAGACUAAGGAGGGCAGCGAAUCGCACAUCACCGCCCACAACAUUUUUUGUGUUCUACUCGAGAUGACAUCUACGCAUGAACCUAGCUCAUGAUGCCACUCAAGGUGAACGUCGCAUGGGAAACAAAAAAUUUCUACGCGCACGAAGACCAAUCAUGGUGAUGUCCAUCUACGAGGGGGAUUUUAGAUCUACGUACCCUUGUAGAUCACACAGCAGAAGCGUUAUUAAACGCGGUUGGUGUAGUGGAACGUCCUCACGUCCCUCGAUCCGCCCCGUGAACCAUCCCACGAACCGUCCGGCGAUCCGUCCCACGAUCCGCUCCGAUCUAGUGCCGAACAGAUGGCACCUUCGCGUUCAGCACACGUACAGCUCGACGAUGAUCUCGGCCUUCUUGAUCCAGCAAGAGAGACGGAGAGGUAGAUGAGUUCUCCGGCAGCGUGACGACGCUCCAUAGGUUGGUGGUGAUCUAAUCUCAGCAGGGCUCCGCCCGAGCUCCGCAUUAACGCGAUCUAGAGGAAAAACCGUGGAGGUAUGUGGUCGGGCUGCCGUGGCAAAGUUGUCUCAAAUCAGCCCUAAUACCUCCGUAUAUAUAGGUGGGAGGGGAGGGGCCUUGCCUUGAGGCUCAAGGAGCCCCAAGGGGGUCGGCCGAAGGGGGGGGGGAGGAGAAAUCCUCCUCCAAUCCUAGUCCAACUAGGAUUGGAAGGUGGAGUCCUUCCCUUCCUUCCCACUUCCCCCUUUUUUUCUCUCUUUGAUUUCUUCUUAUCCUGCGCAGGGGCCUUCUUGGGCUUGCCCACCAGCCCACUAAGGGCUGGUGCGGUACCCCUAGGGCCUAUGGGCUUCCCCGGGGUGGGCUGUCCCCCCGGUGAACAUCCGGAACCCAUUCGUCAUUCUGAGUACAUUCUCGGUAAUUCCGAAAACUUUCCGGUAAUCGAAUGAGGUCAUCCUAUAUAUCAAUCUUCGUCUCCGAACCAUUCUGGAAACCCUCAUGACGUCCGUGAUCUCAUCCGGGACUCCGAACAACAUUCGGUAACCNNNNNNNNNNNNNNNNNNNNNNNNNNNNNNNNNNNNNNNNNNNNNNNNNNNNNNNNNNNNNNNNNNNNNNNNNNNNNNNNNNNNNNNNNNNNNNNNNNNNNNNNNNNNNNNNNNNNNNNNNNNNNNNNNNNNNNNNNNNNNNNNNNNNNNNNNNNNNNNNNNNNNNNNNNNNNNNNNNNNNNNNNNNNNNNNNNNNNNNNNNNNNNNNNNNNNNNNNNACAUGACCCGAGGGACUUCUCGGUCAAUAUCCAAUAGAGGGACCUGGAUGCCCAUAUUGGAUCCUACAUAUUAUACGAAGAUCUUAUCGUUUGAACCUCAGUGCCAAGGAUUCAUAUAAUCCCGUAUGUCAUUCCCUUUGUCCUUCGGUAUGUUACUUGCCUGAGAUUCGAUCGUCAGUAUCCGCAUACCUAUUUCAAUCUCGUUUACCGGCAGGUCUCUUUACUCGUUCCGUAAUACAAGAUCUCGUGACUUACACUAAGUCANNNNNNNNNNNNNNNNNNNNNNNNNNNNNNNNNNNNNNNNNNNNNNNNNNNNNNNNNNNNNNNNNNNNNNNNNNNNNNNNNNNNNNNNNNNNNNNNNNNNNNNNNNNNNNNNNNNNNNNNNNNNNNNNNNNNNNNNNNNNNNNNNNNNNNNNNNNNNNNNNNNNNNNNNNNNNNNNNNNNNNNNNNNNNNNNNNNNNNNNNNNNNNNNNNNNNNNNNNNNNNNNNNNNNNNNNNNNNNNNNNNNNNNNNNNNNNNNNNNNNNNNNNNNNNNNNNNNNNNNNNNNNNNNNNNNNNNNNNNNNNNNNNNNNNNNNNNNNNNNNNNNNNNNNNNNNNNNNNNNNNNNNNNNNNNNNNNNNNNNNNNNNNNNNNNNNNNNNNNNNNNNNNNNNNNNNNNNNNNNNNNNNNNNNNNNNNNNNNNNNNNNNNNNNUUUGGGUCUAGUCCAUCUCAUGAUUCUCCCAAUGACGUGAUCCAGUUAUAAAGCAACAACACCUUAUACAUAGUCAGAAGACCGUGACUAUCCUUGAUCAACUAGCUAGCCAACUAGAGGCUUGCUAGGGACAAUGUUUUGUCUAUGUAUCCACACAUGUAUCUAAGUCUUCAUUCAAUAUAAUUAUAGCAUGGAUAAUAAACGAUUAUCUUGAUACAAGAAUUAUAAUAAUAACUUAUUUAUCAUUGCCUCUAGGGCAUAAUUCCAACAAGCACCUAAUGCAAUUCUUGGAACUUUUUAUUGAAAAACAAGAUUAUAAAUAACAACUAACAUAGAAUAGCAAAAUAAAAUGAUGCUCCAAGCAAAACUCAUAUUAUGUGACGAAUAAAAAUAUAGCUCCAAGUAAGAUAUAUCGAUAAUGUUGAAGACGAAAGAGGGGAUGCCUUCCUGGGCAUCCCCAAGCUUAGGCGCUUGAGUAUUCCUUGGAUAUUAACUUGGGGAGCCUUGGUAAUCACCAAGCUUAGGUUCUUUUCACUCCUUAUUCUCCUCAUAUCGGUGUCUCACCGAAAACUUGAAAACUUCAAUCACACAAAACUUAACGGAACUUUGUGAGAAGGGUUAGUAUAAUAAAUGAUGAUCAUUCACUUAGGUAUUGUUAAGACAAGAUUCAUAAUUGUUCCCACAUGAUACCUACUGUAUUCUACUAUUCCCAUAAUUUAUAUCACUGAAUAUAAGCUAUGGGAACACUAAAACAAGCAAACCAUGCAUGCAAAACAGAAUCUGUCAAAAACAGAACAAUAUGUGAAGAUCUGUAGUGUAACCAUACUUCUCUGUCUCUAAAAAUUCUUAAACAUUAGGACAACACAGUCAAUUUGUAUAACAUCAUGUUUAAAAAAUUAAGUUCAAAAGAACGUUCUAGUGAAUUUACAAAAUUCCUGGACUGAGAGCAAAAGUUUCUGUUUUUAAACAUAAUCAAGGCAACUAUCAUCCACACUAUCCCAAAGACUUCACUUGGCACUUUAUUUAAAUAAAAGGCAUAAAACAUGAUUAUUACAGUAUCUUAAUCAUGUGAACACCAAAACACAGAAAGUAAAAGUGUUGGGUUGUCUUCCAAUAAGCGCUUUUCUUUAAAGCCUUUUAGCUAGGCAUGAUGAUUUCAAUGAUGCUCACAUAGGAAUAAUAAUUAUAACAUGCAAAAGAGCAUCAUGAAUCUGAUGACAAGCACAUUUAUGUCUAACCCACUUCCUAUGCAUGGGGAUUUUGUGAACAAACAAUUUAUGGGAGCAAGAAUCAACUAGCAUAGGAAGGCAAAACAAGCAUAACUUCAAAACUUUGAACACAUAGAGAGGAAACUUGAUAUUAUUGCAAUUCCUACAAGCAUAUGUUCCUCCCUCAUAAUAAUUUUCAGUAGCAUCAUGAAGGAAUUUCACAAUAUAACCAGCACAUAAAGCAUUCUUUUCAUGAUCUACAAGCAUGGAAAUUUUACUACUCACCACAUAAGCAAAUUUAUUCUCAUCAAUAGUAGUGGGAGCAAACUCAACAAAAUAACUAUCAUGUGAAGCAUAAUCCAAUUGAAAAUUAAAAUCAUGAUGACAAGUUUCAUGGUUAUCAUUAUUCUUUAUAGCAUACAUGUCAUCACAAUAAUCAUCAUAAAUAGGAGGCAUGCUUUCAUCAUAAUAGUUUUGCUCACCAAAACUUGGGGGACAAAAAAUAUCAUCUUCAUCAAACAUAGCAUCCCCAAGCUUGUGGCUUUGGAUAUCAUUAGCAUCAUGGAUAUUCAGAGAAUUCAUACUAACAACAUUGCAAUCAUUCUCAUCACUUAAAGAUUUAGUGCCAAACAUUUUAAUAACUUCUUCUUCUAACACUUGAGCACGAUAUUCCUUUCCAUCAUUUUCAUGAAAGACGUUGAAAAGAUGAAGCAUAUGAGGCAACCUCAAUUCCAUUUCUUUGUAGUUUUCUUUUAUAAAACGAAACUAGUGAAAAAUAAGAAACUAAAAGAUUUAAUUGCAAGGUCUAAAGAUAUACCUUCAAGCACUCACCUCCCCGUCAACGGCGCUAGAAAAGAGCUUCGUUGAUGGGAUGUGAGUGCCACUUACCUAACCUCCCCGGCAACGGCGCUAGAAAAGAGCUUGAUGUCUACUACACAACCUUCUUGUAGACUCGUGUUGGGCCUCCAAGCGCAGAGUUUUGUAGGACAAUAGGAAAUUUCCCUGAAGUGGAUGACCUAAGGUUUAUCAAUCCGUGUGAUACGUAUGAUGAAGAUAGUCUAUCUCAAGCAACCCUGCAAUCAAAUAACAAAUAGUCUCUUGUGUCCCCAGCACACCCAAUACAUUGGUAAAUUGUAUAGGUGCACUAGUUCUGCGAAGAUAUGGUGAUACAAGUGUAAUAUGGAUGGUAGAUAUAGGUUUUUGUAAUAUGAAAAUAUAAAAACAGCAAGGUAAAAAAUAGUAAACAACGAGCAAAACGUUGUAUAAAUGCUUGGAAACAAGGCCUAGGGUCCAUACUUUCACUAAUGCAAAUUUUCUGAACAAUACUGACAUAGUUGAAUCAUAUAUAAAUCCCUCACGUGCGACAAAGAGUUCACUCCAAAGUCACAAAUAUCGGAGAACAAACGAAGAAAUUAUUGUGGGGUACGAAACCACCUCAAAGUUAUCUUUUACGAUCAAUCUUAUGAGCUAUCCAUAUAAGUGUCACGAACAGUCCUAGAGUUCGUACUAAAAUAGCACCUUAAAAUACACAUUAACCAAAACCCUAAUGUCACCUAGAUACUCCAAUGUCACCACAAGUACCCAUGGGCUUGAUUAUACGAUAUGCAUCACACAAUUUCAGAUUCAUCAUGUUCAAUCCAACACAAAGAACAUCAAAGAGUGCCCCAAAGUUUCUACCGGAGAGUCAAGACGAAAACAUGUGCCAACUCCUAUGCAUAGAUUCUCAAGGUCAUGGAACCCGCAAGUUGAUCACCCAGACAUACAUCAAGUGGAUCAAUAGAACAUCCCAUUGUCACCACGUAUAUCCAAUCGCAAGACAUACAUCAAGUGUUCUCAAAUCCUUAUAGAGUCAAUCCGAUAGAAAAACUUCAAAGGAAAACUCAAUUCAUCUCAAGAAGAUAGAGAGGGGAAAACUCCAUAUGAUUCAUCUAUAUUAAUAAAGCUCACGAUACAUCAAGAUCGUGGCAUGUGAAGAACACGAGAGAUAGAGAUUAAACACAUACUACUAGUACAUACCCUCAGCCCCAAGGAGGAUUAAUCACACAUUAUCAUGGUGAGAAAGAGAGAUUUGUUGAUGAAGAGGUGUAGCCCCGAAGAGAUGGAGACGAUGGCGGCCACGACACCGGCGACGGGUGGCGACGGGCGGCGGCCCCUUGCCCCUCCGCCUUCCUUGGUCUUGGUGCUGCAAUGGAGGAGCCUCUCCCCUUCUUGGCGUUUGUCAAGGGAGAGACAAAAUCGUGGCUCUUGGUGCCUGCACCAAAAUUAGGGUUUUCUCUCUCUUUAUAUGUGCCUCUGUGGUGCUCUAUGGCCCUUCGAUGGAUGGAUCCUUAAUACAAUAGCUCUAGAGCACCUCUAGAACCUUCCUAGGGGAUCCUCACAGCCCUCAUGAGGUUCCAAAGUCGUGGCUUGGCCGAAUAUAUCAGAUAUGUUAAGAGUUGAACUCAAUCACGUCAACAAUUCUCGCGAUCGUGUAAUCAGAUAUUUGCCUUCAGUAAAACGGGUCUCCAGAUCUCAUACAAACUCCGUUUUAGAGGAAUUUGUAGUCCAGAAUCAUUGCCAUAAAAUUACCCACACUUUCCUUGUUUUAGAUUUUCCCAUUUGACGCCGUGUUCAGGGCUCCAACUGAUGAUCUCUAACAACUGUUUGUGGACAAAUUUCAGGAAAAUCAGAGUCCUCCUCCAACAAGGCUCCUUUUGUGUUUUUUCGACAAUUUCUAAUUAAUUCCUACAAAUAUAAGUGUGAAACAAGAACUUGUGCAAUUUGGCAACCAUUAAUAUGUUAGUCCAAAAAACAAUAUAAAGUUGUAGUAAAGUGAUUGUAAAACAUCCAAGAAUGAUAAUAUAACAACAUGAAACAAGCAAAAAUUAGACGUAUCAAGCUCUUUGACCCCGAGGGCAAGCACCACGUCAAGCACAUCGUCGAUGUCGAUGUCAAUGGUUUGGCGGUCAGGGUGGCUAAUGACUGGUUCGCCGGAGCUUCACAACAGUCAACCAACCACUACAAACCCGGUUGAAAGCACAACUUCUUCCUAGGUGGUUUUGAUAAUUAAUAACAACAUAUACUUCAUUGGACAAAUGAUUCUACCAAGUAUAUUUGAGAAACAUUGAAUGAAUAUAUUGGAAAAAGAUUGUGAGGAGAUCUCCUAGAUGCAUGGAACAUCUAUUGGCAACAAGCUUCAAGACUCUACACUUUGCUUUUAUGUGCGAAAUCACAAUGGAGUCCAUGGGAAAGUCAAUAUACUAUUAAAAGGGGAUAAGGUAUGUAUGAUGAUCUGGUUGCUCAAGUGCUUAGAGUUAUCCACCAAAAACCCUCAUGAAAUUCUCCCACAAAUAUUCUGUCCAAAGCCUAACACUCAAAUUCGAUGCCACCGAUAUUUCCAAAUCGACCCUACCGAGUUUUACCCUAAACAGAAUCCAGUGCCAACCCAACCAUCUCGGCGCCACCAAGUUUUGUUUUCGGUACAACCAAAAAAUAGUAACCAACUACAUGGUUGCCAUUUGCUAAAAAUAAGAAUUUCUGCUUCUUGCAAAUCGGUGCCAUCGAGUUUGGGUAACUUCCUAGGUCAGCCAAAUCGAACUCACCGAGAUUUAUAUAUCGGUCUCAUCGAAAUGCCAAAAGAUGCCAUUGUACUAGUGAGUGCAACCGAGCUGGGCAAUAAUAUUCAACAAUUGGAUUUUUGGAGAUGCCUAUAUAUACCCCUCCACCUACCUCUCAUUCUUAGAGGAAGCACUCAGAACAGACCAACACUUACCCCAUCUAUUUUUGGAGAGAGAACAACCUAUUCAUGUAUUGUGAUCAAGCUAUUCCACUCCAACCAUAUGGAUCUUGAUUUCUAGCCUCCCCAAGUUGCUUUCCACCCAAUCAAUCUCUUCUACCCAAGCUAAAUGUGUGAGAGAGUGAUUGAGUGUUGAGGAGACUAUCUUUGAAGUACAAGAGAAAGGAGUUCAUCAUACUUGCCACAUCUAUUACCUUUUGGAGAGUGGCGUCUCCUAGAUUGGUUAGAUGUCACUUGGGAGCCUCCGACUUGGUGUGGAGUGGAACCAAGAAGUUUGUAAGGGUAAGGAGAUUGCCUACUUCGUGAAGAUCUACCCCGAGUGAGGCUAGUCGUUCGUGAACAUAAGCCAUGGUGGAAUAGAAAAUGUUGCUUCUUCGUGGACCCUUCGUGGACUCAUGCAGACAUUACCCUCCAUGGGUCAAAGUAUCCAUCAACGUGGACGUACGAUAGCACCACCUAUGAGAACCACGCCAAAAAUCUAUGUGUCAUCUUUGCGUUUGAUCUUCCUAUCCCUAUCCUCUACUUACAUGUGCAUGUCUUUACUUUCCGCUGCUAUAUGCUUAGACUUGCACUUGUAGGGUGUGCUUGACUUGGUAUAAUUGCUAAAACUUGGCAACUAUUAGAAUUAGGAAAAGCCCAAGUUUUUAUUUGUCCAAGUAGUCUAAUCACCCCCUCCUCCUCUAGACAUACUUCGGAUCCUACAAGUGGUAUCAGUGCAUUGGUCUCCAUUGCAUUGGUUUCACAACCUACGAGAGUAUGCGUCUAGCGAGGGAAAUUACCAUCGGAAAGGUCGAUAUUUUGAUGGUACAAGCUUUUCUAGUUGGAAGCAUAAAAUGAAAAUGCGUAUUUUUGGCCAUGACCCUGCCGUUUGGGCUGUUGUUCGUGUUGGAUUGCAAGGUGAAUUCUUUGGUGAUGGAAAGGAACCGGAUCAUGAAGCGACUAGGGAAGAAUUGAGGAUGUUACAAUACAACGCUCAAGCAUGCGACAUUUUGUUCAACUGCCUAUGCCCCGAAGAGUUCAACAAGAUUAGCCGUCUUGAGAAUGCAAAGGAAAUCUGGGAUACUUUGGUUGAUAUGCACGAAGGUACCAAAUCCGUAAGGGAAUCUAAGUUGGAUGUUAUACAAAGUCAACUUGAAAAGUUCAAGAUGAAGGAUGGUGAAGGAGUCACUAAAAUGUACUCUAGGCUUGCUCUCAUCACAAAUGAUAUUGUCGGCUUAGGAAGCAAAGAGAUGACCGAUAAUUUCAUCAUCAAGAAGAUCCUUAGAGCCUUGGAUGGAAGUACGACACUGUGUGCACAUUGAUCCAAAUUAUGCCAAACUACAAAGAUCUCAAGCCUACGUAAGUCACUGUAAGGAUUGUUGCUUAUGAAAUGUCACUCAAAGACAAAGAAGAGCUUCAUAACAAGUCUAGCGAUGCAUACAAAGCUUCAAGCGACACUCCCGCUACCUCAAAUGACAACCUUCUUACCAAUGAAGAGAUAAGCCUCAUGGUCAAGAAAUUCAACAAGUUCUACAAGAGUAGAGGCAAAGAGAGAAGCUCUAACUCAAGAUAUGAAUAGAAGCGUUCAACUAGUCGUGACCGAAAUUGUUACAAUUGUGAAAGGCUCGGACAAUACUCCAAUGAGUGCAUGACCCCCACAAAAGAAGAGAAGAGUCACCUAUAAUAAGAAGCUCAAGAGAUGAUUCACCUCGAAGAGAGAGACGGAGUAGAGAAGGUCAUUAUGAACGAAGUUCCUCCGGAGAAGCAAGGACUCAGAGAAGAAGGACAAGUACACCAACAGCUACUCAAGAAUAAGACAUCAAGAUCAUGUUGGUGAAUGGGUAUCCGGCUAUGAAUUUGAGAAUCAAUCUGAGAGAAGCUACCACUCCAACUCCGAUCAUAGUCAAGAUGAAGGUGUUGCCGGAUUAACACUUGUUUCCUCCAACUCCGGUGACAUAUUUGAUUCACAAAAUGAAGGAAUUGUAAGUUGCUUCAUGCCUAAAGUCCCCAAGGCAUCACACCCCGAAUACGUUGACUUUAAUAGUGAUGAGGAAGACUUACUAGGAGAUAAUAACUUGAUCUUUGAUAAAACUAGUGAUAUCAAUGAAAAUGAACUUGAUAAUAAUCAUGCUAGUCAAGAUAAGUCAUGUGAUGAUGAUAAGAAGUAGAUUGCGCGUCUAACUAAAGAACUUAACACUCUUAAGUUAGCUCAUGAAUCUACUCAAGAAGAUCAUAGAGAUCUUCUAAGAACUCAUGAGAAGCUACCCUUCGAGAAGCUAAAUCUAGAGCAAGAACAUGAGUUUCUUAAAGCUAUCAAUGAUGAUAUUCGAAAUAAGAGUUCUUCUUAUCUAGCCAAAUGAUUACUCUUGUCUACUUUUCUUCCACAUGUUAAAUCUAAGCAAACUAGUAACAAAGGCAAGAAAGGUUCUUCAUCUAGUAGCAACAAUACAAAUGCUAAGUCAAAUGAUGUUUUCUCUUAGCCAUGUUACACUUGAGCAAGAAAAUGAUUUAUUGAAAGGAAUUAUAGAAAAAGGUGUCUACAAGAGUUUUGUUGGAACUAAGAAAUUUGAGGAGAUUUUACGCAAGCAAGGAUGGCACCGGAAGAACCAAUGCAUUGUGAUACGGAGCAUCCCAUGGUCAUCUCCAUGGAUCCAUCACCAACACCUCAAGCUCCAAGUGGUCCCAUGACAAGAGCCCGUGCACGUGCCAUUGAAACUGAGGUCACAUCUUUCCUUGCUCAUCCAUCGUUUUAUCCACUUGAUACAUGGUCACUACCUCAAGGGAAAACUCUUUGCAUACUCAGGUACUCGGAAGUUGAUCUUGGAACGACUAUGAAGAAACACGAGGACGCCAAUCUGAAUGCUCGAGCGGCCGGAUGACUGAGCUAGUUGUGACGUACCACACAUCCCAACGGCCGAACAUCCGACCCCUGGAGCUCCACCAAGUUGCACAUUACCGCGUCCGGAUGGCUGAGCCCUCCGGACGUUCGACAGCUCCAAGUCGAGCCCCAACCCUCGGAAAUCCAUACCCCGCUGGACGAUCGAGCCUCGAACGUCCGACAAGCUUCGGAAAUCCGACAACAACAUACCCGAGCUGGAACCCUCGGACGAACGGACCACUCCGGACGUCCGAGCCCCCACGAGCCUUCGGACGAUCGGCCUCCCCUGGAUUUCUGGACCCUAUUUACGUAGACGCUCUUGGGCUACGACCCAUGUACGCUUCUAUUUCAUCCAGUACUAUAUAUAGACUACCUCCUCCUCUUUCUAGGGUUAGAGCAUCUCCAGCGGUUCGGCCUCCCAGGGGCGUGAAAUAGCGCCGCCUGGGGGCGCGCCGACAAAAAAAAUCAGUGUGUGUGUNNNNNNNNNNNNNNNNNNNNNNNNNNNNNNNNNNNNNNNNNNNNNNNNNNNNNNNNNNNNNNNNNNNNNNNNNNNNNNNNNNNNNNNNNNNNNNNNNNNNNNNNNNNNNNNNNNNNNNNNNNNNNNNNNNNNNNNNNNNNNNNNNNNNNNNNNNNNNNNNNNNNNNNNNNNNNNNNNNNNNNNNNUCCCAGCCACCCCCAGGGUCGCCCCCAGCCGCCGAUUUCGGCCCAUUUUUGGUGCAAAUUGGCCCCCUUUCGUCGCAAAAUGAGACCAAUUUUGGCCCAUAUUCGGCGUGCUUCGGCACAAAUUGAACAUAUGCUUUAUUUUUUUAAUCACAUAGUUCAUCACAAAAUCAAUACAAAUCAANNNNNNNNNNNNNNNNNNNNNNNNNNNNNNNNNNNNNNNNNNNNNNNNNNNNNNNNNNNNNNNNNNNNNNNNNNNNNNNNNNNNNNNNNNNNNNNNNNNNNNNNNNNNNNNNNNNNNNNNNNNNNNNNNNNNNNNAAAUCAAUACAAAUCAAAAAUAGUUCAACAAAUCAAUACAAAUCAAAAUAUUUCAACAAAUAAAAACUCAUAAUUCAUCACACAUCGAGGUAGGGCCUCCAUAGGUUCUCCACCAAAUCGUCCUGAAGUUGUUGAUGCACGUGUGGGUCUUGGAUCUCCUGACGCAUGUUGAGGAAGGCAGUCCAGGUUGCCGGUAGCUGGUGAUCAACUUGGGCAAGAGGAACGUGCCUGUAAUAUGGUUCAGUGUCAAAUACUGGCUCUUCCUGCUCGCUCUCAAUGACCAUGUUGUGCAAGAUUACACAACAAGUCAUGACUUCCCACAUUUGAUCUUUCGACCAGGUCUGAGCGGGGUACCGAACAACAGCAAAACGAGAUUGGAGCACACCAAAUGCCGGCACGACAUCCUUCCUGCAAGCUUCUUGACGUUUGGCAAAGUAGGAGUUCUUGCCUCCUGGUGCAGGGUUUGAAACAAUCUUCACAAAUGUGGAACAUCUCGAAUAGAUGCCAUCUGCUAGGUAGUAUCCCUUGUUGUAGUGGUGCCCAAUGACCUCGUAGUUAACCGGAGGAGCAUGUCCUUCAACAAGAUUGGCAAAGACAUUCGAGCACUGCAGUAUGUUGAUGUCAUUGUGAGUUCCUGGCAUACCAAAGAAGGAGUACUUGUUGGGAAACGUUGCAUGGGAAACAAAAAAUUUCCUACGCACACGAAGACUUUUCAUGGUGAUGUCCAUCUACGAGAGGAGAUUUGGAUCUAGGUACCCUUGUAGAUCGCACAGCAGGAAGCGUUAAGAAACGCGGUUGAUGUAGUGGAACGUCUUCACGUCCCUCGAACCGCCCCAUGAACUGUCCCGCGAUCCGUUCCACAAACCGUCCCACGAUCCGUCUCACGAUCCGUUCCGAUGUAGUGCCGAACGGACGACACCUCCGCGUUCAGCACACGUACAACUCGAUGACGAUCUCCACCUUCUUGAUCCAGCAAGAGGGGGCGGAUAGGUAGAAGAGUUCUCCGGCAGCGUGACAGCGCGCCGGUGGUGGUGAUGAUCUACUCCGGCAGGGCUUCGCCUAAGCUCCGCAGAAAUACGAUCUAGAGGAAAAACUGCGUGGUAUAGGGUCGAGCAGCACGUGGCAAAGUUGUGUGUCAAAAACCCUCAAUACCUCUAGUAUAUAUAGGAGGGAGGGAGGGAGGGGAGAAGGCAGCCUCAAACCCUCAAGGUUUGGACGAAAUUGGAGGUGGAGGUGUCCUACUCCAAUCCUACUUGGAGUAGGAUUCCCCCUUCCCACUUGGAAACUCUUUCCACGUUGUAUUUUUUCCUUGUCAAACCUUCUGGGCCUUAGUGGGAACUUAUUACAGCCCACUAGGGGCUGGUUUAUCUCUUCCCAUAGCCUAUGAGACCCCUUGGGGCGUGACACCCCUCCCGAUGGUCCCCGGCACCCCUCCCGGCACUCCCGGUACACUACCGAUGAGCCCGAAACUUUUCCGGUGACCAAAACAGGACUUCCUAUAUAUCAAUCUUUACCUAUGGACCAUUCCGGAGCUCCUCGUGAUGUCCUGGAUCUCAUCUGGGACUCCGAACAACUUUCGGUUACCAACACCUAUAACUCAAAUACGCUUAAAACAUCAUCGAACCUUAAGUGUGCAGAGCCUGCGGGUUCGAGAACUAUGCACACAUGACCCGAGAGACUCCUUGGUCAAUAUCCAAUAGCGGGACUUGGAUGCCCAUAUUGGAUCCUACAUAUUCUCCGAAGAUCUUAGCGGUUGAACCUCAGUGCCAAGGAUUCAUAUAAUCCCGUAUGUCAUUCCCUUUGUCCUUCGGUAUGUCACUUGCUUGAGAUUCGAUCGUCGGUAUCCGCAUACCUAUUUCAAUCUCGUUACCGACAAGUCUAUUUACUCGUUCCCUAAUACAAGAUCCCGUGACUUACACUUAGUCACAUUGCUUGGAAGGCUUGUGUGUGAUGUUGUAUUACCGAGUGGGCCCCGAGAUACCUCUCCGUCACACGGAGUGACAAAUCCCAGUCUUGAUCCAUACUAACUCAACGGACACCUUCGGAGAUACCUAUAGAGCACCUUUAUAGUCACCGAGUUAUGUUGCGACGUUUGAUGCACACAAGGUAUUCCUCCGAUGCCAGUGAGUUAUAUGAUCUCAUGGUCAUAGGAACAAAUACUUGACACGCAGAAAACAAUAGCAAUAAAACGACACGAUCAAUAUGCUACGUUCAUAGUUUGGGUCUUGUCCAUCACAUGAUUCUCCUAAUGAUGUGAUCCCGUUAUCAAGUGACAACACUUGCCUAUGGUCAGGAAACCUUGACCAUCUUUGACCAACGAACUAGUCAACUAGAGGCUCACUAAGGACAGUGUGUUGUCUAUGUAUCCACACAUGUAUUUGAGUUUCCAAUCAAUACAGUUCUAGCAUGGACAAUAAAAGAUUAUUAUGAACAUGGAAAUAUAAUAAUAACUAAUUUAUUAUUGCCUCUAGGGCAUAUUUCCAACAGUCUCCCACUUGCACUAGAGUCAAUAAUCUAGUUCACAUCACCAUGUGAUUUCAACGAAUCCAACACCCAUAUAGUUCUGGGGUCUGAUCACGUCUUGCUCGUGAGAGAGGUUUCAGUCAACGGUUCUGAAACUUUCAGAUCCAUGUGUUCUUUAAAAAUCUUUAUGUCAUCUUAUAGAUGCUGCUACUACGUGCUAUUCGGAAAUACUCCAAAUAUAUACUCUACUAUACGAAUCCGUUUUACUACUCAUAGUUAUUCGGAUUAGUGUCAAAGCUUGCAUGAACGUAACCCUUUACGGAGAACUCUUUCACCACCUCCAUAAUCGAGAAAAAUUUCUUAGUCCACCAGUUACUAAGGAUAACUUUGACUGCUAUUCAGUGAUUCAAUCCCGGAUCACCCUCUGUACCCCUUAACAAACUUGUGGCAAGGCACACAUCAGGUGCGGUACACAUCUUGGCAUACUUUAGAGUCUAUGGCUAAGGCAUAGGGAACGACCUUCGCCCUUUCGCUUUCUUCUGCCGUGGUCGGGAUUUGAGUCUUACUCAAAUUCACACCUUACAAUACAACCAAGAACUCCUUCUUUGCCGAUCUAUUUUGAACUCCUUCAGAAACUUGUCAAGGCAUGCAUUUCAUUUGAAAGUUCUAUUAAGCGUUUUGAUCUAUCUCUAUAGAUCUUGAUGCUCAGUGUUCAAAUAGCUCUAUCUAGGUAUUCCUUUGAAAAACUCCUUUCAAACAACCUUUUAUGCUUCACAUAAAUUCUACAUUACUUCCGAUCAACAGUAUGUCAACCACACAUACUUAUUAGAAAUACUAUAGUGCUCCCACUCACUUCUUUGGAAAUAGAAGUUUCUCAUAAACCUUGUACAAACCCAAAAGCUUUGAUCAUCUCAUCAAAGCAUAUAUUCCAACUCCAAGUUGCUUGCACCAGUCCAUAAAAGGAUCGCUGGAGCUUGCAUACUUGUUAGUAUCCUUAGGAUCGACAAAACCUUCUGAUUGUAUCACAUACAAUCUUUCCUCAAGGAAACCGUCGAGGAAACAAUGUUUUGACUUCCUAUGUGCAAUAUUUCACAAAUAAUGCAGCAACUACUAACAUAAUUCCAACAGACUUUUAGCGUCGCUACGAGUGAGAAAGUCACAUCAUAGUCAACUCUUUGAUCUUGUCGAAAACAUCUUUGCGACAAGUCGAGCUUUUCUUAAUAGUGAAUUAUCACCAUCAUCGUAUGUCUUCCUUUGAAAGAUCCAUCUUUACUUAAUAGUCUUACUACCAUCAAGUAGUUAUUCCAAAGUCUACACUUUGUUUUAUACAUGGAUCCUCUCUCGGAUUUCAUGGCCUCCAGCCAUUUGUCGGAAUCCGGGCCCACCAUUGCUUCUCCAUAACUCGUAGCUUCAUUGUUGUUCAACAACAUGACCUCCAAGACAGGGUUACAGUACCACUCUGUAGUAGUACGCGACCUUUGUGACCUACGAGGUUUGUAGUAACUUGAUCCUAAGCUCUAAUGAUCACCAUCAUCAACUUCCACUUCGAUUGGUGUAGGCGCCACAGGAACAUCUUCCUGUGCCCUGCUACACACAGGUUGAAGUGACGGUUCACUAACCUCAUCAAGUUCCACCACCCUCCCACUCAAUUCUUUCGAGAAAAACCUUUCCUCGAGAAAGGACCCGUUUCUAGAAACAAACACUUUGCUUCCGGAUCUGAGAUAGGAGAUGUAUCCAUUUGUUUUGGAUAUCCUAUGAAGAUGCAUUUAUCCGCUUUGGGUUCGAGCUUAUCAGAGUGAAACUUUUUCACAUAAGCGUCGCAGCCCCAAACUUUCAAGAAAUGACAGCUCAGGUUUCUCCAAACCAUAAUCUAUACUGUGUCAUCUCAACGGAAAUACGUGGUGCCUUAUUUAAAGUGAAUGUGGUUGUCUCUAAUGCAUAACCCAUAAAUGAUAGUGGCAAUUCGAUAAGAGACAUCAUAGUAUGCAGCAUAUCAAAAUAGGGCGUGGCUAUGACGUUCGGACACACCAUCACACUAUGGUGUUCUAGGUGGCAUGUAUUGCGAAACAAUUUCCACAUUGUCUUAACUGUGUACCAAAACUCGCAACUCAGAUAUUCAUCUCUAUGAUCAUAUCGUAGACAGUUUAUCCUCUUGUCACGAUGAUCUUCACUCUGAAAUAGAUUUGGACUUUUCAAUAUUUCAGACUUGUGAUUCAUCAAGUAAAUACUCCUGUAUCUACUCAAAUUGUCAGUGAAGUAAGAACAUAACGAUAUCCACUGCGUGCCUCAACACUCAUUGGACUGCACACAUAAAAAAUGUAUUGCUCCCAACAAGUUACUAUCUUGUUUCAUGUGGCAUGAUUUGCAUGUCUCAAGUGAUUCAAAAUCAAGUGAGUCCAAACGAUCCAUCUCUAUGGAGCUUCUUCAUGCAUUUAUACCAACAUGACUCAAGUGGUAGUGCCACAAGUAAGUGGUACUAUCAUUAUUACUUUGUAUCUUUUGGCACAAAUAUUAUGAACAUGUGUAGCACUACGAUCGAGAUUCAAUAAACCAUUGAAGGUUAAUUAUUCAAGCGAAUAGAACAACUAUUAUUCUCUUUGAUUGAAUAAUGGUAUUGCAAUAAACACGAUCCAAUCAUGUUCAUGCUCAACGUAAACACCAAAUAACAAUUAUUUAGGUUUUACCACCAACCCCGAUGAUAGAGGGAGCGUGUGAUGUUUGAUCACAUCAACCUUGGAAACACUUCCAACACUUACCGUCACCUCGCCUUUAGCUAGUCUCCGUUUAUACCGUAGCUUUCAUUUCGAGUUACUAAUCACUUAGCAACCGAACCGGUAUCCAAUACCCUCGUGCUACUAGGAGUACUAGUAAAGUACACAUCAAUAUCAUGUAUAUCAAAUAUACUUCUGUCGACUUUGCCAUCCUUCUUAUCUACCAAGCAUCUAGGGUAGCUCCGCCUUAGUGACCGUUCCCCUCAUAACAGAAGCACUUAGUCUCGGGUUUGGGUUCAAUCUUGGGUUUCUUCAUUAGAGCAGCAACUGGUUUGCCGUUUCAUGAAGUAUCCCUUCUAUCCCUUGCCCUUCUUGAAACUAGUGGUUUUACUAACCAUCAACAAUUGAUGCUCCUUCUUGAUUUCUACUUUCAUAGUGUCAAACAUUGCAAAUCGCUCAAGGAUCAUCAUAUCUAUCCUCAAUAUGUUAUAGUUCAUCAUGAAGUUUCUCUAGGAACAUAUAAAAACAGUAGAGCUAUAGCGCAAGCUACAUCGUAAUCCGCAAAGACCAUUAGACUAUGUUCAUGAUAAUUAGUUCAACUAAUCAUAUUACUUAAGAACUCUCACUCAAAAAGUACAUCUCUCUAGUCAUUUGAGUGGUACAUGAUCCAAAUCCACUAUCUCAAGUUCGAUCAUCACGUGAGUCGAGAAUAGUUUCAGUGGUAAGCAUCUCUAUGUGAAUCGUAUCAACUAUACGAUUCAUGCUCGACCUUUCGGUCUCAUGUGUUCCGAUGCCAUGUCUGCACAUGCUAGGCUCGUGGAGCUUAACCCGAGUGUUCCGCGUGUGCAACUGUUUUGCACCCGUUGUAUGUGAACGUUAAGUCUAUCACACCUGAUGAUCACGUGGUGUCUCGAAACGACAAACUGUCGCAACGGCGCACAGUCGGGGAGAACACAAUUUCAUCUUGAAAUUUUAGUGAGAGAUCACCUCAUAAUGCUACCGUCGUUCUUAGCAAAAUAAGGUGCACAAAAGGAUUACCAUCACAUGCAAUUCAUAAGUGACAUGAUAUGACCAUCAUCAUGUGCUUCUUGAUAUCCAUCACCAAAGCACCGGCACGAUCUUCUUGUCACCGGUGCCACACCAUGAUCCCCAUCAUCAUGAUCUCCAUCAACGUGUUGCCAUCGGGGUUGUCGUGCUACUUAUGCUAUUACUACUAAAGCUACAUCCUAGCAAUAUAGUAAACGCAUCUGCAAACACAAACAUUAGUUUAAAGACAACCCUAUGGCUCCUGCCGGUUGCUGUACCAUCGACGUGCAAGUCGAUAUUAACUAUUACAACAUGAUCCUNNNNNNNNNNNNNNNNNNNNNNNNNNNNNNNNNNNNNNNNNNNNNNNNNNNNNNNNNNNNNNNNNNNNNNNNNNNNNNNNNNNNNNNNNNNNNNNNNNNNGCGAUGGAGGAGCUCCUUUGGAAGGGUAAGGCAACGAGGACGCCAAGCUACCAGGUAGUGGCUGGGCCGAGUACCAGCGAACGAGCGGCAUAUACAGGCCGCGUGACUGCGGCGUCUCGCCGGCCACCACGGCCAUCGUAGCCGUGGACACGGAUACAGGCUAGCUGGUUGUGGUACCGAUGCAGUCAGCAAUGUGGCAUCAAGAAUUGCUGUCAAAAAGAUAGUGUUCUCAAGUCUGGCAAAAUAGCUAAAGUACAGAGCUCCCAGAGAACCUGAUGUUUUGUUGCAAUAUCAUCCAAGUGCAGGAAUCAACUACCCAGGCAAGUCUGUCAGUGCAAACAAGGUAAAAAACUAGUUUCAGCAAAGCACAGCAGAUCGAUCACGAAGCGCAGAGCGAGCACACAACAAGGGCAGGGGUCAAGAACAGUUUCUGCUAUUUCGUGAUCUGAUCCCAAACACUCAGGUAGGGUUUCCGAAACAAAGGUACAUUCAGCUAUGCUAUUACAAAACCGACACGGUAAUAACGGAUCCAUUGCUUGUUUGCAGAUGCAGGUUUGAGACUGCCUCAGUUCAGCUUCUCGAGUAGCUCGUUGAUCUUGUCCCCGCGGUUGCCCGAGUCGCCACCAUCCUUGAAGGGUUUCUUCGCAGCCUCCUCUCCGGACACUUGAGCUUGAAGGGCAUGAGAAAGCUCGCCGUUUCCCUGAAGUGCGGCCCGACCGUGGAGAUUUCGUGUACGACAUCUUCUAAACAUAUGACGCCGUGUUCUCCAAGAGC